CCUACGGGUGGCAGCAGUAGGGAAUCUUCGGCAAUGGGGGCAACCCUGACCGAGCAACGCCGCGUGAGUGAAGAAGGUUUUCGGAUCGUAAAACUCUGUUGUUAGAGAAGAACAAGUAGGAGAGUAACUGCUCUUGCCUUGACGGUAUCUAACCAGAAAGCCACGGCUAACUACGUGCCAGCAGCCGCGGUAAUACGUAGGUGGCAAGCGUUGUCCGGAUUUAUUGGGCGUAAAGCGAGCGCAGGCGGUCUUUUAAGUCUGAUGUGAAAGCCCUCGGCUCAACCGAGGAAGGUCAUUGGAAACUGGAGGACUUGAGUGCAGAAGAGGAGAGUGGAAUUCCAUGUGUAGCGGUGAAAUGCGUAGAUAUAUGGAGGAACACCAGUGGCGAAGGCGACUCUCUGGUCUGUAACUGACGCUGAGGCUCGAAAGCGUGGGGAGCAAACAGGAUUAGAUACCCCGGUAGUC
Molecule: ribosomal RNA, 465 nt
Filed under: uncultured bacterium
Lineage: Bacteria
Description: bacterial SSU rRNA
Rfam family: Bacterial small subunit ribosomal RNA
Source: RNAcentral